Molecule: ribosomal RNA, 537 nt
Filed under: uncultured soil bacterium
Lineage: Bacteria
Description: bacterial SSU rRNA
Rfam family: Bacterial small subunit ribosomal RNA
Source: RNAcentral
GCUGGCGGCGUGCUUAACACAUGCAAGUCGAACGCGCAGCAUUCUGUAGCAAUACAGGGUGUGGGCGCGUGGCGAACGGGUGCGUAACACGUGGAUAACCUUCCUUGAGGUGGGGAAUAACCCAGUGAAAAUUGGGCUAAUACCGCAUAACAUCGCGAUGGCACAUGCUGUUGCGAUCAAAGGCGCAAGUCGCCACAAGAGGGAUCCGCGGCCGAUUAGCUUGUUGGCGAGGUAAUGGCUCACCAAGGCAAUGAUCGGUAGCCGGACUGAGAGGUUGGCCGGCCACACUGGAACUGAGACACGGUCCAGACUCCUACGGGAGGCAGCAGUGGGGAAUCUUGCACAAUGGACGAAAGUCUGAUGCAGCAACGCCGCGUGGGGGAUGAAGCUUCUCGGAGUGUAAACCCCUUUCGACCCGGAAGAAUGCCCGCAAGGGUAUGACGGUACGGGUAUAAGAAGCCCCGGCUAACUACGUGCCAGCAGCCGCGGUAAUACGUAGGGGGCCAGCGUUGCUCGGAAUUACUGGGCGUAAAGGGU